This 345-nucleotide unclassified non-coding RNA is filed under the name soil metagenome. Its description in RNAcentral is "partial contains 5.8S ribosomal RNA, internal transcribed spacer 2, and large subunit ribosomal RNA". The stretch from base 3 to 118 matches the Rfam family "5.8S ribosomal RNA", at positions 38 to 154 of the family's 154-position model. The record is from RNAcentral.
GAGAAGAACGUAGCGAAAUGCGAUACGUAAUGUGAAUUGCAAAUUCAGUGAAUCAUCGAGUCUUUGAACGCACAUUGCGCCCCCUGGUAUUCCGGGGGGCAUGCCUGUCCGAGCGUCAUUGCUGCCCUCAAGCACGGCUUGUGUGUUGGGCCCCGUCCUCCGAUCCCGGGGGACGGGCCCGAAAGGCAGCGGCGGCACCGCGUCCGGUCCUCGAGCGUAUGGGGCUUUGUCACCCGCUCUGUAGGCCCGGCCGGCGCUUGCCGAUCAACCCAAAUUUUUUAUCCAGGUUGACCUCGGAUCAGGUAGGGAUACCCGCUGAACUUAAGCAUAUCAAUAAGCGGAGGA